RNAcentral lists this ribosomal RNA (287 nucleotides) under Escherichia coli. RNAcentral's name for it is "partial 16S ribosomal RNA". It matches the Rfam family "Bacterial small subunit ribosomal RNA", at positions 1 to 284 of the family's 1533-position model. Lineage: Bacteria; Pseudomonadati; Pseudomonadota; Gammaproteobacteria; Enterobacterales; Enterobacteriaceae. The record is from RNAcentral.
AAAUUGAAGAGUUUGAUCAUGGCUCAGAUUGAACGCUGGCGGCAGGCCUAACACAUGCAAGUCGAACGGUAACAGAAAGCAGCUUGCUGCUUUGCUGACGAGUGGCGGACGGGUGAGUAAUGUCUGGGAAACUGCCUGAUGGAGGGGGAUAACUACUGGAAACGGUAGCUAAUACCGCAUAACGUCGCAAGACCAAAGAGGGGGACCUUAGGGCCUCUUGCCAUCGGAUGUGCCCAGAUGGGAUUAGCUAGUAGGUGGGGUAACGGCUCACCUAGGCGACGAUCCCU